This 252-nucleotide ribosomal RNA is filed under the name uncultured bacterium. RNAcentral's name for it is "partial 16S ribosomal RNA". It matches the Rfam family "Bacterial small subunit ribosomal RNA", at positions 524 to 776 of the family's 1533-position model. The record is from RNAcentral.
UACGGAGGAUGCGAGCGUUAUCCGGAUUUAUUGGGUUUAAAGGGUGCGCAGGCGGAUUUUUAAGUCAGCGGUCAAAUCGUGGGGCUCAACCCCAUCCAGCCGUUGAAACUGGGGAUCUAGAGUGUGCGAGAGGUAUGCGGAAUGCGUGGUGCAGCGGUGAAAUGCAUAGAUAUCACGCAGAACCCCGAUUGCGAAGGCAGCAUACCGGUGCACAACUGACGCUCAGGCACGAAAGCGUGGGUAUCGAACAGG